RNAcentral lists this non-coding RNA (21 nucleotides) under Caenorhabditis elegans. Lineage: Eukaryota; Metazoa; Nematoda; Chromadorea; Rhabditida; Rhabditidae. The record is from RNAcentral.
UGAACAAGCGACUGCAUAAAG